Long non-coding RNA from Mesocricetus auratus (golden hamster), 1918 nucleotides. RefSeq lists it as uncharacterized. Lineage: Eukaryota; Metazoa; Chordata; Mammalia; Rodentia; Cricetidae. The record is from RefSeq and is a predicted model, not a curated record. The transcript is spliced from 2 exons.
GGAACUGGAGUUGCAGAUGGCUGUGAGCCACCGUGUGGGUGCUGGGGUUGGAACCCAGGACCUCUGGAAGAGCAGCCAGUGCUCCUAACUGCUGAGCCGUCUCUCCAGCUCCCACUCACCGGUAACUUUUUGUGCAAGGACUAAGCAUCGCAUAACUAGAGCGUGUCUGUGGGUUAAAAGAAGAACUCAAGGCAGCUUUAGCAACAGUAGGGAGUCUGUUAGCUUAUGUAACCAAAGCAUGGGUGCAUGUUUGAGAUUCGGUGUGACAUCAUUCCUAAGGGGUAAAUGCUUGAGAUUCGGUGUGACAUCAUUCCUAAGGGGUAAAUGCUCACCUUCGGUAUCAUGAUACAUCCAUCCGUUUACCAAGACCUGCCGUCCUCAUCACAGAUUCUUCCCGCUGAAUGCCGUGUCCAGGGGCUUCUAGCCAUCUUUCCCCUCUGCAUACAUUCUCAGAGAUACCCUCUAUCUGGUGCCAGGCGGGACCAGGGGCCAUUCCCUUCCUACUUAAAAUGACACUCAUAACCAAGAAUAAGGGCCCAGAAAUGGGCCAGUGGUCGGGUAGGUGCAGCCUGCCCCCUGGUGGCUGGAUAUUGUGAGUUUCUUCCCAUGUCAAGUUGGGCAUAGCAGCACUAGGCUCUUCUACCUACCAGGCUGGCUUAUAGCCUCAGAGAGGGCCAGGCUUGUCUCCAUUCCACCCAGCCGCCAUGAUUGACACGUCUGUUUUUAGCUUUCCUCAGAGGCUAACAGAAAACGGGAACCAGAGUGAUGUGCUCUGUUGGUAUCCAGUUUAGGAUACCAACAGUCUUGGAUACUUAGAGUGUGGAUGGUGGCCACUGGCCAAAAACAAAAAAGAAAGAAAAAAUAAAACAAAAACACAACCAGGCUGAUGAGUACAGGGGCUGAGGGGGAGACUUGCUAUAAGAUUGCUCUGGAAGUGCUUGGAAAAUUCUGGGCUUCAAGAUGGAAUAUUCUCUGUGUACCUUUUCCCCCACUACCUCCAAAAUUCCAGAUCUUCUGUAUCUAGGGAACUUGGGUACAAGAACGGCGACCUGAAACCCUGGGUCAGGAGAGGACAACUCUGCCCUGCACCCCUACGGUGAAGGAGUCACUCCUGAACAGAGUGAACAGCCCCCAUCUGCCCUCAGCCUAGGCGUGGCUCUGAGUCCUGAAAGGCCAGAGAGGCUGGGGCUGAUUUCAUGACUGGAACUCCUGAGGUGGACCUCAUACUUUAUGCCUCAGACAGACAGACAGACAGACAGACAGACAGACAGACAGACAGGCAGGCAGACACACACACACACACACACACACACACACACACACACACACACACGCAGAGUUGUCCCAGGCCACUGAUGAGAAGCAGCAGCCGUGUAUGCGCAGCUCAAGCGUGUGAUUUGGUGUAUCUCUGUGCGUGUGAGGCCCCACCUGAAAAGGCUGCUGGCUCCUCCCGUCAUAUAUGACAUCAGCUUCGAAAGGAGGCUGCCCGUGGUAACACUGCCUGUUGGAAUCAUUCCCGAGGGCAGGGCCCUGGCUGGGCAGGUCUGGUAACAGGCAGACUCCUUGGCACAUGUAGCAACACGCUCAAUUGUACACAGGCUCCUAUCUGUGCCAGGGCACAAGGCACGCGUGACGAGGCCGUCUGCCCAGCUGGUUUUUCUGCAUGACUCUGCCCGCUCUUCACCAUCUCCUCUGCCUGGACCUCCGUGUGUCGGUGCUGACAGCAUGGCCCACUCCUCCCCCUGCCUUUGAACCCAGCCUUCUGGGUCUCAGACUCCGUGUGCAGGCACGUCCAGACAAUGGCCUGUGGAAGGAGUGUGACACAGAAGAGCAUUCUUGUGCUGGCCUGAGCUUUGAGAUGGGUCCAAAGAAGUAAAAUUUAUGGAAAUUCUGGAACCAUUAAAAUGUAUUUGCAAAA